CUUGGCGGACGGCCCCGCCGGCGGGGCUGAUGAGUGUCUACGGGGCGGUCUGUGUCCACGUAGGCCGGUUUCACCCGGUCGAUGGUGACCACCUCUUCUCUGCCUCCUCGCUCGAUGCGAAGGAUCUUCCCCGUGUUGGCCAGCACUUUGUACGGGCCCUCGUACGGUGGGUCCAGCGGGCCCCGGUGGGCGUCGAUCCGGACGAAGACGUAUUUGGCCUGCGGCAGCGCUGGGUGAACCCACGGUCGUUGCGCUCCGUGCGGGAACACUGGUGCGGGAGGCACCAAGUGAUGGAAGGUUUGGAGCUGGAACGCGCUCGGCGGCGCCGUGCCGUGGUCGUCGGCGGCGAGGAGGCGGCCCGGAACUGCAAGGGGGGCCCCGUAG
Non-coding RNA from Paramuricea clavata, 384 nucleotides. Lineage: Eukaryota; Metazoa; Cnidaria; Anthozoa; Malacalcyonacea; Plexauridae. The record is from the annotation of a GenBank genome assembly.